RNAcentral lists this ribosomal RNA (471 nucleotides) under Limosilactobacillus vaginalis. RNAcentral's name for it is "bacterial SSU rRNA". It matches the Rfam family "Bacterial small subunit ribosomal RNA", at positions 28 to 462 of the family's 1533-position model. Lineage: Bacteria; Bacillati; Bacillota; Bacilli; Lactobacillales; Lactobacillaceae. The record is from RNAcentral.
GAUGAACGCCGGCGGUGUGCCUAAUACAUGCAAGUCGAGCGCACUGGCCCAACUGAUAUGACGUGCUUGCACUGAAUUGACGUUGGAUUCCCAGUGAGCGGCGGACGGGUGAGUAACACGUGGGCAACCUGCCCUGAAGCGGGGGAUAACAUCUGGAAACAGGUGCUAAUACCGCAUAACAACGAAAACCGCAUGGUUUUCGUUUCAAAGAUGGCUUCGGCUAUCACUUCAGGAUGGGCCCGCGGUGCAUUAGCUAGUUGGUAAGGUAACGGCUUACCAAGGCGAUGAUGCAUAGCCGAGUUGAGAGACUGAUCGGCCACAAUGGAACUGAGACACGGUCCAUACUCCUACGGGAGGCAGCAGUAGGGAAUCUUCCACAAUGGGCGCAAGCCUGAUGGAGCAACACCGCGUGAGUGAAGAAGGGUUUCGGCUCGUAAAGCUCUGUUGUUGGAGAAGAACGUACGUGAGAGU